AACGCAAGUUGCGCCCGAGGCCUCGGCCGAGGGCACGCCUGCCUGGGUGUCACACAUAACCUUGCCUCCAAAACCUUCCUCGUCGUGACGCCACGUCGGCGAUGGUUUUGGAUGCGGAAGAUGGCCUCCCGCGACCACGAGCCACGGAUGGCCCAAAUAUCUGCUGGGGAAGCGAAGCGCCACGGCGUUCGGUGGUCGGCACAGCCCUUGAGGCGAUCAUGCCCGUGGUGGCCGCGGCGGUCCUCGGCAUACGACCCUGAUCAUUAACCAACGCGACCUCAGGUCAGGCGGGGCUACCCGCUGAGUUUAA
This 310-nucleotide unclassified non-coding RNA is filed under the name uncultured soil eukaryote. Its description in RNAcentral is "sequence contains 5.8S rRNA gene, ITS2, 28S rRNA gene". The record is from RNAcentral.